Molecule: ribosomal RNA, 301 nt
Filed under: Campylobacter jejuni
Lineage: Bacteria; Pseudomonadati; Campylobacterota; Epsilonproteobacteria; Campylobacterales; Campylobacteraceae
Description: partial 16S ribosomal RNA
Rfam family: Bacterial small subunit ribosomal RNA
Source: RNAcentral
UUUUAUGGAGAGUUUGAUCCUGGCUCAGAGUGAACGCUGGCGGCGUGCCUAAUACAUGCAAGUCGAACGAUGAAGCUUCUAGCUUGCUAGAAGUGGAUUAGUGGCGCACGGGUGAGUAAGGUAUAGUUAAUCUGCCCUACACAAGAGGACAACAGUUGGAAACGACUGCUAAUACUCUAUACUCCUGCUUAACACAAGUUGAGUAGGGAAAGUUUUUCGGUGUAGGAUGAGACUAUAUAGUAUCAGCUAGUUGGUAAGGUAAUGGCUUACCAAGGCUAUGACGCUUAACUGGUCUGAGAGG